AAAGGAUGGUGAGGGCAAUUCCUAAGCUUUUCUUUAAUUCUUUCCCAACUUUUAUAAAUUGAUUUUUCCUUCAAACUGGGCAAAAGAAGUGAUAUUAUUUCUAAAUUU
Small nucleolar RNA from Dendrobium catenatum, 108 nucleotides. The record is from RefSeq and is a predicted model, not a curated record. NCBI's taxonomy places the organism in Eukaryota, Viridiplantae, Streptophyta, Magnoliopsida, Asparagales, Orchidaceae.